This 1423-nucleotide ribosomal RNA is filed under the name Actinomycetales bacterium HPA173. Its description in RNAcentral is "16S ribosomal RNA". It matches the Rfam family "Bacterial small subunit ribosomal RNA". The record is from RNAcentral. Lineage: Bacteria; Bacillati; Actinomycetota; Actinomycetes; Actinomycetales.
CGUGCUUAACACAUGCAAGUCGAGCGUAAGGCCCUUCGGGGUACACGAGCGGCGAACGGGUGAGUAACACGUGAGCAACCUGCCCCUGACUCCGGGAUAAGCGGUGGAAACGCCGUCUAAUACCGGAUACGACCCNCCACCUCAUGGUGGAGGGUGGAAAGUUUUAUCGGUCAGGGAUGGGCUCGCGGCCUAUCAGCUUGUUGGUGGGGUAACGGCCUACCAAGGCGAUUACGGGUAGCCGGCCUGAGAGGGCGACCGGCCACACUGGGACUGAGACACGGCCCAGACUCCUGCGGGAGGCAGCAGUGGNGAAUAUUGCACAAUGGGCGAAAGCCUGAUGCAGCGACGCCGCGUGGGGGAUGACGGCCUUCGGGUUGUAAACCUCUUUUACCACCAACGCAGGCUCCACGUUCUUCGUGGGGUUGACGGUAGGUGGGGAAUAAGGACCGGCUAACUACGUGCCAGCAGCCGCGGUAAUACGUAGGGUCCGAGCGUUGUCCGGAAUUAUUGGGCGUAAAGAGCUCGUAGGCGGCAUGUCGCGUCUGCUGUGAAAGACCGGGGCUUAACUCCGGUUCUGCAGUGGAUACGGGCAUGCUAGAGGUAGGUAGGGGAGACUGGAAUUCCUGGUGUAGCGGUGAAAUGCGCAGAUAUCAGGAGGAACACCGGUGGCGAAGGCGGGUCUCUGGGCCUUACCUGACGCUGAGGAGCGAAAGCAUGGGGAGCGAACAGGAUUAGAUACCCUGGUAGUCCAUGCCGUAAACGUUGGGCGCUAGGUGUGGGGACUUUCCACGGUUUCCGCGCCGUAGCUAACGCAUUAAGCGCCCCGCCUGGGGAGUACGGCCGCAAGGCUAAAACUCAAAGGAAUUGACGGGGGCCCGCACAAGCGGCGGAGCAUGUUGCUUAAUUCGACGCAACGCGAAGAACCUUACCAAGGUUUGACAUCACCCGUGGACCUGUAGAGAUACAGGGUCAUUUAGUUGGUGGGUGACAGGUGGUGCAUGGCUGUCGUCAGCUCGUGUCGUGAGAUGUUGGGUUAAGUCCCGCAACGAGCGCAACCCUUGUUCCAUGUUGCCAGCACGUAAUGGUGGGGACUCAUGGGAGACUGCCGGGGUCAACUCGGAGGAAGGUGGGGACGACGUCAAGUCAUCAUGCCCCUUAUGUCUUGGGCUGCAAACAUGCUACAAUGGCCGGUACAAUGGGCGUGCGAUACCGUAAGGUGGAGCGAAUCCCUUAAAGCCGGUCUCAGUUCGGAUUGGGGUCUGCAACUCGACCCCAUGAAGGUGGAGUCGCUAGUAAUCGCGGAUCAGCAACGCCGCGGUGAAUACGUUCCCGGGCCUUGUACACACCGCCCGUCACGUCAUGAAAGUCGGCAACACCCGAAACUUGUGGCCUAACCUUUCGGGAAGGAAUGAUUGAAGGUGGG